Molecule: ribosomal RNA, 2897 nt
Filed under: Escherichia coli
Lineage: Bacteria; Pseudomonadati; Pseudomonadota; Gammaproteobacteria; Enterobacterales; Enterobacteriaceae
Description: bacterial LSU rRNA
Rfam family: Bacterial large subunit ribosomal RNA
Source: RNAcentral
GGGUUGUGAGGUUAAGCGACUAAGCGUACACGGUGGAUGCCCUGGCAGUCAGAGGCGAUGAAGGACGUGCUAAUCUGCGAUAAGCGUCGGUAAGGUGAUAUGAACCGUUAUAACCGGCGAUUUCCGAAUGGGGAAACCCAGUGUGAUUCGUCACACUAUCAUUAACUGAAUCCAUAGGUUAAUGAGGCGAACCGGGGGAACUGAAACAUCUAAGUACCCCGAGGAAAAGAAAUCAACCGAGAUUCCCCCAGUAGCGGCGAGCGAACGGGGAGCAGCCCAGAGCCUGAAUCAGUGUGUGUGUUAGUGGAAGCGUCUGGAAAGGCGCGCGAUACAGGGUGACAGCCCCGUACACAAAAAUGCACAUGCUGUGAGCUCGAUGAGUAGGGCGGGACACGUGGUAUCCUGUCUGAAUAUGGGGGGACCAUCCUCCAAGGCUAAAUACUCCUGACUGACCGAUAGUGAACCAGUACCGUGAGGGAAAGGCGAAAAGAACCCCGGCGAGGGGAGUGAAAAAGAACCUGAAACCGUGUACGUACAAGCAGUGGGAGCACGCUUAGGCGUGUGACUGCGUACCUUUUGUAUAAUGGGUCAGCGACUUAUAUUCUGUAGCAAGGUUAACCGAAUAGGGGAGCCGAAGGGAAACCGAGUCUUAACUGGGCGUUAAGUUGCAGGGUAUAGACCCGAAACCCGGUGAUCUAGCCAUGGGCAGGUUGAAGGUUGGGUAACACUAACUGGAGGACCGAACCGACUAAUGUUGAAAAAUUAGCGGAUGACUUGUGGCUGGGGGUGAAAGGCCAAUCAAACCGGGAGAUAGCUGGUUCUCCCCGAAAGCUAUUUAGGUAGCGCCUCGUGAAUUCAUCUCCGGGGGUAGAGCACUGUUUCGGCAAGGGGGUCAUCCCGACUUACCAACCCGAUGCAAACUGCGAAUACCGGAGAAUGUUAUCACGGGAGACACACGGCGGGUGCUAACGUCCGUCGUGAAGAGGGAAACAACCCAGACCGCCAGCUAAGGUCCCAAAGUCAUGGUUAAGUGGGAAACGAUGUGGGAAGGCCCAGACAGCCAGGAUGUUGGCUUAGAAGCAGCCAUCAUUUAAAGAAAGCGUAAUAGCUCACUGGUCGAGUCGGCCUGCGCGGAAGAUGUAACGGGGCUAAACCAUGCACCGAAGCUGCGGCAGCGACGCUGAUGCGUUGUUGGGUAGGGGAGCGUUCUGUAAGCCUGCGAAGGUGUGCUGUGAGGCAUGCUGGAGGUAUCAGAAGUGCGAAUGCUGACAUAAGUAACGAUAAAGCGGGUGAAAAGCCCGCUCGCCGGAAGACCAAGGGUUCCUGUCCAACGUUAAUCGGGGCAGGGUGAGUCGACCCCUAAGGCGAGGCCGAAAGGCGUAGUCGAUGGGAAACAGGUUAAUAUUCCUGUACUUGGUGUUACUGCGAAGGGGGGACGGAGAAGGCUAUGUUGGCCGGGCGACGGUUGUCCCGGUUUAAGCGUGUAGGCUGGUUUUCCAGGCAAAUCCGGAAAAUCAAGGCUGAGGCGUGAUGACGAGGCACUACGGUGCUGAAGCAACAAAUGCCCUGCUUCCAGGAAAAGCCUCUAAGCAUCAGGUAACAUCAAAUCGUACCCCAAACCGACACAGGUGGUCAGGUAGAGAAUACCAAGGCGCUUGAGAGAACUCGGGUGAAGGAACUAGGCAAAAUGGUGCCGUAACUUCGGGAGAAGGCACGCUGAUAUGUAGGUGAAGUCCCUCGCGGAUGGAGCUGAAAUCAGUCGAAGAUACCAGCUGGCUGCAACUGUUUAUUAAAAACACAGCACUGUGCAAACACGAAAGUGGACGUAUACGGUGUGACGCCUGCCCGGUGCCGGAAGGUUAAUUGAUGGGGUCAGCGCAAGCGAAGCUCUUGAUCGAAGCCCCGGUAAACGGCGGCCGUAACUAUAACGGUCCUAAGGUAGCGAAAUUCCUUGUCGGGUAAGUUCCGACCUGCACGAAUGGCGUAAUGAUGGCCAGGCUGUCUCCACCCGAGACUCAGUGAAAUUGAACUCGCUGUGAAGAUGCAGUGUACCCGCGGCAAGACGGAAAGACCCCGUGAACCUUUACUAUAGCUUGACACUGAACAUUGAGCCUUGAUGUGUAGGAUAGGUGGGAGGCUUUGAAGUGUGGACGCCAGUCUGCAUGGAGCCGACCUUGAAAUACCACCCUUUAAUGUUUGAUGUUCUAACGUGGACCCGUGAUCCGGGUUGCGGACAGUGUCUGGUGGGUAGUUUGACUGGGGCGGUCUCCUCCUAAAGAGUAACGGAGGAGCACGAAGGUUGGCUAAUCCUGGUCGGACAUCAGGAGGUUAGUGCAAUGGCAUAAGCCAGCUUGACUGCGAGCGUGACGGCGCGAGCAGGUGCGAAAGCAGGUCAUAGUGAUCCGGUGGUUCUGAAUGGAAGGGCCAUCGCUCAACGGAUAAAAGGUACUCCGGGGAUAACAGGCUGAUACCGCCCAAGAGUUCAUAUCGACGGCGGUGUUUGGCACCUCGAUGUCGGCUCAUCACAUCCUGGGGCUGAAGUAGGUCCCAAGGGUAUGGCUGUUCGCCAUUUAAAGUGGUACGCGAGCUGGGUUUAGAACGUCGUGAGACAGUUCGGUCCCUAUCUGCCGUGGGCGCUGGAGAACUGAGGGGGGCUGCUCCUAGUACGAGAGGACCGGAGUGGACGCAUCACUGGUGUUCGGGUUGUCAUGCCAAUGGCACUGCCCGGUAGCUAAAUGCGGAAGAGAUAAGUGCUGAAAGCAUCUAAGCACGAAACUUGCCCCGAGAUGAGUUCUCCCUGACUCCUUGAGAGUCCUGAAGGAACGUUGAAGACGACGACGUUGAUAGGCCGGGUGUGUAAGCGCAGCGAUGCGUUGAGCUAACCGGUACCAAUGAAC